Long non-coding RNA from Pristis pectinata (smalltooth sawfish), 2361 nucleotides. RefSeq lists it as uncharacterized. The record is from RefSeq and is a predicted model, not a curated record. NCBI's taxonomy places the organism in Eukaryota, Metazoa, Chordata, Chondrichthyes, Rhinopristiformes, Pristidae. The transcript has 3 exons.
UUUCGAAAUUGACAAGAAAUAACGUGAAAAUUAACAUUUUGUUUUACUUAUUUUGCCCCCUCCCCCUCAUACACACAUAAACAUAGACAGUGCUUCCGCUUUCGGUUCUUGGAACCUUAUUUUUGCUAGCUAAGUUCUUAGUGUUUGGAAUGAUUUUUUAGAAUCUUUUUAGUCACGCUAGGUGCGUGAACACGUUUAGUGUACGUAAAAUGGUAUUUAGCAGAUUGGCGCUUUUUCCUCCCCCCACCCCCACCCCGGUUCUCUGCAUUAAAACAGGGACUCAGUGGUUAGGGUUCAGUUCCAGCUGAUUUUAUUUCCUUCUCUCUCUCUCUCUCUCUCUCUCUCUCUCUCUCUCAGUCUCUUUCUCUCAAAGAAAUAUUUACAAGAGUUUAUCAACAAUCUGACAGGCAGUGACUUGACACGAUUAGCUGGCAUGAAUUUUCUUUUUUCAAAAAAAAAGUUGUGUUGAGGCAUGAUCUGACAGACUAUACACAGCAUAUUGCACAGGAUGAGUGAAAAUAAAAAAAUAGUUAAAAUAAUAAAAGAUUUAAAAAAAACUAACAAUCGGACAGCUACCAAGAUUUUUGUUUCCGCGGUUGCUGCCUUAAUGCCUGUCACGGUAGUUUUGGACACAUACAAGUAACACGUCUCAUGUUUAUAUAAUACAGAUUUAAAUAUACAAAGGCGUUCGCACUUUUCUCCCAACCCCUCCCCUUCAAUAAACCCCCCACAACAGCUCUACCUGAUUUUGGAAUUAUAUAAGCUAGCUUCAUGCCAAAAACAAUAAUAUUUUGCCGACAAGUUAUAAGAAUUAAUACUAGUUAUUAUUACAGAAUGAGAAACACAGUAUUGUGUAGCGAACUCAAAUCAAUAUUUGAUAUCCAGUGGUUAAGCGCCAUUUAAGGAUCGCCACAUAAAUGGGAUAAAGGUGCAGCAUCCCUUGUAAUCUACGUUGGUGCUCAACCUCAGGAGGCUUGGAAUAAGUACAAAAUCCUGUUUGGUUACCCCCAUUACACUUCGCUAAUACUUGUUUACUUGGAAUAUGACUGCAGCCAAUACAAAGUUUAAAGGAAGCUUUAAGGUCACCUGUUUCAAGGUAAAAGUGUCCAAAUGGUUUCCCACGUUUAAAUACUAUAAAGGAGACAUAUCAGCUAUAAUAGACAGGAAGGGACGUUGUGAGUUUUAACAUCAACAACAGCUGUGAAGCCAACAUAAAGGUAACUGCAGCUUUACGUUACAAAACCUGCAGAUUGAAGUGUGUAAACAUGUGGAAUAUAAAAAAGAGGCAACAUUGUGAUAUCGGCCUCUUUGUUCAUGAUCAUGAAAUCCAAACAGCGAUAAACACCGAUUAACACCCCCUUUAUAUUUUUUACAAAAAUACACUGAGAAAAUAAUCAAACGUCUCAUCUUUCUCUUUUUUUUAAAAGUGUCAAAGUCUACAUUUAAAUAUAAAAUUAAAAGUUUAACUCUAGCCCUUCAGUGAAGGAGAUAAAACGGUGCAGGUAAUUAACAGGCCUACGAAAAAAAAGUCAAAAUGUUUGGCCAGUAUAAAUACAUCCAUAUAAAAUGGUUUCUGAUUACAUUUACAAGGGAAACAAAACAAUACGAGGAUGAAACAUCGGUGACAAGAAGUUCAUUUUGUUUUGUAGAAUUUGUGGAAUAUGGAACUUUUGAGGAAAUUUGGUCCAGAAAAUGCAGUCCAGCGGAGAUUUGAGUUGCGUUAAUGGUUAUAAUGUAUGCUGCGCUUGGAGUUGCUGUCUCCAUGAGGCCCCCGCGUUAUUGGCUGUAUAUGAUCCUCGAAAAUGGUGAGAGCGAGCAUGUGCACGGAGUUCAAUAGAUGGUGCAGAGCAGCAUGAAGAUUCAGAGAUAUUGCAUCUGCUGUCGACCUGUUGUGGCAGUGGGCAAAUUGAAGUGGAUCCAGGUACGACUCUUCCCACCAUCGAGAGCAUCUACAAGAGGCGGAUAUCUCAGGAAGGCGGCAUCCACCAUCAGGGACCCCCACCAUCCAGGCCAUGCCCUCUUCCCGAUGCUGCCAUCAGGCACAAGGUACAGGAGCCUGAAGACCCACACCUCAAGGUUCAACAACAGCUUCCUCCCCACUGCCAUCAGGUUCUUGAACCGACCUGAAAAACCCUAACACUACCUCGGACUAUAUAUUUUUUUCUCUCUCCCAAUCUUGCAUUGGUGUCAUUGUGUUUAUCUUGUUGUUUAUUUUGCACAUACAUAAGUGAUGUAUAAUUUAUGUUAAUUUAAGUUUAUGUUAACUUAUGUUUGUCCUUGUCUUGUAAUGUACUGUGCUGCUGCUGCAAAAAGCUAAUUUUCAUGGCAUUUAUACCCUGUGUAUAUAUGCCGAUGACAACA